Nerophis ophidion (straightnose pipefish) is the source of this 774-nucleotide long non-coding RNA. RefSeq lists it as uncharacterized. The record is from RefSeq and is a predicted model, not a curated record. The transcript has 2 exons. NCBI's taxonomy places the organism in Eukaryota, Metazoa, Chordata, Actinopteri, Syngnathiformes, Syngnathidae.
UUUUCUUGUUUCAAAGUAUCUCCUGUAUCUCUGAAAAUGUAUCUGAUAUUUGGAAUAAAUAUGAACAGUAGAUGGAGGAAAUUUGAAAAUUCUUGAGUUAAUUCUUGUGAAUCUUUGUCCUCAGCUUACGACCAUGAAAUGGCCUUCCUGUUGUUGCUCAUACAUCUCCUUCCACCACCACCAGGAGGACCGAAGUCUCCAAAAAUCAGUGCAUGUGAUGCCAUUGAGAGACUUGUUGUCUUUCAUAAGUCAUGCUGCAGUAUGGAGGAGCAUCUCCGCAACCAGCAGGGUCGGCAGCCAUACCUCCUCGCUGUUGGCCGUCAGAAGAGCAAGAUCGACAGCUUCUACAUCGCCAUGGAUAAGCAUCUCAUCCCAUGCCAGGCAAACCGCUCCCUUGGGGCAUUUGAUGAACUUUUCAAAGCACAUUUUGAUGAAUACAAAGUUGGGCUUGUUGUUUGCAGUGCAAUGGAAGAAGACAUUCCAGUCUUUUGUCAAAUACGUGAUAUACUUUUGGUUGAAGACCACAUUUUUUUUAUGACAAUCAAGCUAUUCACAGAUAAUUUUGAUUGUCAUUAUCAUGCAUUCAGGGUAUCACAAAGUGAGCAAAGGUUUAUAAUAAAAAUGUCUGAGCUUAAAUUUCACAAACCAUUUGAUAUCCAAAGCUCAUACAAUGUUUCAGAUGAAAGUUUGUACAUUUUACCUUCAUUCAUUAUGUUUUAGGUCAACUGUAUUAAUGACUGUGUGGCAAAAAUAAAUGAUUGUUGAAAAUGAUAA